CAGGGGUCGUGACGGAAGCGGUCUGGGUGCUGACUUUAGCCAUCUCUAAGCUGCAAACGAAGAGAGGAAGAGGAACAAACAGGCCUGCACCUUCUGAAUAUAUACACUGAAGGCCACAUCCUGCAUUACCUGAAACUGGUGAAGACAAGAGAGCAGGUGUGGCUUUGGCAGUCCUGUUGGGUCUGUGAAUGAACUUCUCAUAAAAAAAUACCUUCAGGAAACUGCCCUUCAACAAGGAGCAAGUGCUGCUGACUAAAUUAAUUUAUAAUCCAAAGUCAGAUAGUACACAGAAAAACUAAACUGCAGUUCAAUCUUAAUAAAAGCAAGAAGAUGGAAUUGGGUAAUGAAAAUCUUGUUACUACAGUGGAGACCAGUUAAAGAGACAGAAGGCUUUACAGAAAAAAAGACAUUUCAACUGCAAACAAGCUAAGACACGCUCUAUUCAUACAGAGGCCAGCGCUCGGAAAACGGCAGCGUGCUGUGAUGCUGAGAAAACCAAACCACUUGCCAGUGGCAGCAGCAAGCCAAGAGCAGCAGCUGGAAGCCAGGCUGACCAUCCAGAGCUGCUGUGUGUGGCUCUGCACCUUUCCAGAGCACUGACAGCCCUACAUCUCCCUGGAUACACGCGGCUCUUGCUUGGACAGGUACUGUGCAUUAAAGUCAGUGGGAUUUACAGCUCUCUGACUGCAGGCAGAAGCAGGCAUAAGAAGAUACUGAAAUUUGUCUGCCUUCCUUUACAGAAACUUACCAAAACUCUUUUGUUUGUGAACAGAACUGAGCCUGAGCUCUGUGUGUGUGUGCAUGUGUGUCCCAGGGUGUUUCUGCUCCAGCAUGGGGAGCCCCCAGAAGCAAGUGGGCACCGAGCCAGCAGCUGAGGCUGAGAUGUUUUGGUUUCUGUAAGGGUGAGGAGGGGAGUUUUGUUCUUUGUUAAGGAAGGAUGGGCCCCGAGAAGCUCAGCCAUGGCCAGAGUGAGUAGAAAAUGGAAACUUUGAUCUGCAGGUGUGUUGAUGCUGGGAUAAUGUUGCCAGUUUUGCAGAAUGAUAUGCCAGGAUACAGAGACUGCCACUCUCCCUGCUGCUUCAGGCCCUGAUGUGUUGAAUACCCUUAUGGGGAACUGUAGCACUUGGAGUAACUGGCCAGAAACAGAUUCACAGUUGUCCACAUGUUUUACCAAGAGAAGAAAAACCUCCCAAUGCAAUCCUUGCUUCACACUCAGGGACAAACAGAAAGCCAAAGUGGAUACCCAGGUGGCUGAAACAAAGACCAAAUUUUGACAAGCACAAGAGGAGCAACCAUGAGGGGGGAAAAAUGGGGUGGCAGGAAAUGCACACAGGAUUUCCCAUCCUGCGACAACAGGAGGGCCUUGAGCUCCCUGUCCUCAUCCCAAGGAAUCUCUCUGAGUGUGUGACUACAUGCCAGUGCAGAGGACUGGUGUGUGUUUCUCCAGGAAGCCUCUGGUCUGUCUGUGUGCACACCAAUGUGCCCGCACUGGCUGUCUGUGGGCAGCACAGGGAUCCCUAAGCCUCUGCUUCUGAUGCCUCAGUCUCACUGGCCUCCACGGUCUGCAGGGAGUGAAGCUGGUGCAGGAGAGGAGAGCACCAGAGCAGGCACCUGCUGGGGUCACUCAGCAAGUGUAUUGCCACUUGUAUGUGCUGGGGGUCCUCAGUGACGCCCAGACUGUCACCCAGGUGGGUCAGUGCAAAGAACGUGCCAUCUCCUAGCUGAGUUUGAGUUAAGUAGUGAGGAUUCAGUCCACACUGGUCAAGGACACCGGUGAUGCUGGUGUCUGGAAGAGAGGUUUGGUAACCUUUGGCCUGAAGCUCUCCAAAGUCACUCUUCAUUGCUGUGACAACAGGAUGUUUGGACACCCUCUGCAAGCUGUGACACGGCCUGCAGCUCGUGCAGAACACACAACUCCAUCUCGUCUGCCAUGUGAGAAGGAUAGCAGUGCUGGGGGCUUGGGCUCUCUCUGGGGUGCCUUUCUCAUUACAUGUUAUUACACUGAAAUUUGAACAGUAUCUGAGUAUUCAAGAGCUGAUGUGUUCUAGAAGAAGUUCAAGGGACAUUUAGUUAUGGGGAUUUUGUUUUAUAUAAAGAGACCUGCCUGAGAUGCCUUGCUCUGAGAUGGAAUCAUCAAACUGCAUCCAACCAAACACCUCUGGUGCAUUUGGGAGAGGAGCCAAACCUACCACAAACUAUACCAAGGCUACUACACACUGUAGUCUAAUACUGUAUCAACUAAUAAAUGCAAUCAGCAGUGGCACAGGGUCCUGUUGGAGGCCUGUCACUUGUGGUGUCCCCCAAGGUUCAACACUGGAGCCAGUGUUAACAUGUUCAUCAACGACUCAGAUGAAGGGGCAGAGUUCUGCUCAGCAAGUUCCCUGAUGACACAGAGCUGGGAGGACUGGGCAAUACUCUAGGGGGCUGUGCAGCCCUUCAGACCCUCUCGACAGGGUGGAGAUGGGCAGAGGGGAACUGUCUGAAAUUCAACAAA
This is a long non-coding RNA of Melospiza melodia melodia, 2494 nucleotides long. RefSeq lists it as uncharacterized. The transcript is spliced from 3 exons. The record is from RefSeq and is a predicted model, not a curated record. NCBI's taxonomy places the organism in Eukaryota, Metazoa, Chordata, Aves, Passeriformes, Passerellidae.